This 165-nucleotide ribosomal RNA is filed under the name uncultured bacterium. Its description in RNAcentral is "partial 16S ribosomal RNA". It matches the Rfam family "Bacterial small subunit ribosomal RNA", at positions 349 to 507 of the family's 1533-position model. The record is from RNAcentral.
GAGCAGUGGGGAAUUUUGCGCAAUGGGCGCAAGCCUGACGGAGCAACGCCGCGUGAGGGAAGAAGGCCUUCGGGUUGUAAAGCUCUGUCAGCGGGAAAACCGUCCUGCAGUUAAAGCUGCUGGGAUUGACUAGAGGAGGGAGAGGAAGCACCGGCUAACUCCGUG